CUGAUUUUGAUUUUAUUCUGAGGAUUCUCUUUUUUUUUAACAGUUGCCUAUAAAAUGGUCAAUAAUUUAGAAAUUAUGUAAUGAUAGAAAAUCGUGUUCAAAUCAUUUAAAUAUUCUUUUAGAGUUCAGUGUUCUAUAAUUACAUGUACCAUUUGAUGCUAAAAGAGCGUCUGAACUUCGUGCAGUGCACAGUAUACACUAUCACAGUGUUGAUGUUUGUGUCUGUCAUGCUGAGUUGUCCUCAGUUGAUCAGGUUUUUGUCACUGCAGCAGGUCAGGGUUUCUGGUCAUUCUGGUCACACUUUAACAUAAUCUUUACCCCGACACCCUGACGGUUGGUCUCAAAGGCCUGAACCGCUUGUUCCAGAGGGAAACGGUGCGUCACAAGGGGCUUCACGUUCACUUUACCUGAAGCCACCAUGGCUAUGGCAGUUGGCCAACUGCAACACAAAGACAAAUAUUUCAGAUGUUUGGGAUACUAAACAAUCACUGGAAGGUUUAUCGUGUAAUUAUUAGUAUCUGUAAACCAAACCAAAAGCUUAGUUACUUUUAUCAUCGGCCUCAGAACAUCUGCUGACACCACCAGAGGAGCAAGCAAGGGAGAAUUUCUUACGUGUUGCAGUAGCGGAAAACCCCUCUGAUGUCCACUUCUCUGAUAGCCGCAUUAACCAGCGGAACAGUGACCAUCUCUGCACCCAGACCCACCAGCGCCACCACACCACCUGAACGAACUGCCUGAGAAGAAGAAAAAAACACAGAACAAUUUCAAAUCAUGUGAUUUAUGUCAGAUUUUUAAAUCAAGAUUAAGACAUACAGCUAAAUAACGGCUGCACCAUACUGAUCAACUAUAAAUACUGUAGAAAAGUCCAGCGCCUGAAUGAAUUCUCUAUUGUCUCCAGUUUAUGCAUUGAUGCUUACUUGUUUUGAAUACAACUUCUAAUGCUCUUUAUAAAGGAUAUUCACAUACAUAUAUGGCAGUUUGCAUGCUGCUCUCGACUCCAGUGCAUUCAAUAGUGAUGUGAGGCUGAGCGCCCAGCAUGUCUGCAACACUCUGAGCCAGCUGCUGGGGUCCGUCUCCUCUUGUCACUGUCAGCUGGAAGUCUGCCCCCAACUCUUUGGCCAUUGCGAGGCGCUCUGAGGACAGAUCUGAAUACAAGGUACGAGGUUUCACAAACAUUAUUGUGAAUAAAAAUAAUAAUGACAAGGACAACUACAAGAACCUGUUUCUUGACAAUGGUCAUUUCAGUUCAGAUGUAUUUUCUGCGAGUUACCAGUGAUGACAACUUGUGAUGCUCCCAUGGCUUUGGCUACGAGCAAACAAACCAACCCAAUCGGUCCUGUGGAGAAAGGACGAAUAAAGGAGAUGCUCCGACUGCAGAGACAGCUGAAUAUUGGCUAAUGUAACACUUAUAGAUACAGUCUAUUCUAACAGCAUGAGUGAAGACAUUCAACGCUCGAACGAGACUAACAUUUCAUAACUAAUAUCCGCAGUAUAGCUGUAACCUGCAACUAUAUCCGAAUUGAAAACCUCAAGUGUUUCAUCUGUUGUUGCUUCAUGGAAUCGUCUCAAAUGUUUCCUAUUAGCUUGUUUUCACAGCAGAGGGGGUUUGUUAAAUAUUAAGACCCUAACAAGGUGUGUUCAGGUUCAGCAGCUUCUCACUCAGAUUUUGUUGAGUCAGUAUGAUUCUCAGGUUUGUGAAUACACCCACAGAGUGUUGAACCAAAUUUUAUUAUUUAUUUUUAUUUAUUAAAUAUUGCAAUCACCUCCUUUAUAUCGGAUUGCAUCAUGCUCUGAAAGGCAGUCUGCAGUACUUUCUCAAUGCAAAAAUUUAAUGCAGGUUUAAUAGUUCUCACCUGCACCACAGAUGAGCACACUGCUGCCGAGGGUCACACCUGCUCUGCGACAGGCGUGGAUCCCCACAGACAGAGGUUCAAUUAGAGCUCCCUCUUCGAAUGUCACAUUGUCAGGCAACCUGAUUUGUUACAAUGAGAGGAACAAAGAGGAGAGAAAGAGAAGGAUGUAAAAGUGAAGCAAGAGGCAGUUGGAGGAAGAUAUAAGGCAGUGGUGGAGUAAUCUUUUGCAGCGUGGCUAUGAAAUCCUGAACAGACUGUUACUUGUAGCAGAAGUCGGCGCUGUGGGUGUAAUAUCGGCACAGAUUUCCAUCAUCAGGGGGAGUGGCGCAGAAGAAGAUGGUUGGAGAUAUGUUGUAUCGUCCAUUUUUGAAGAACUCGUCCAUUUCACGGGGAACGCCAGGCUCGAUGGCAACUCUGUCACCUUCAGGACACAAGGCGAGAUUAAAAAGCCGGUGUUAGUUUGUCAUAGUAUCUCUAUUACAGUGAGGCUGAGUGGAAACUUAUUCAUAUGGAGUGAAAUCGGUCACAAAUGGUUGAAAUGACAACUUUUAAAAAGACAAGAGUUUAGAAAAAGAUUAUAAUAACUUUAUUUGUAUAGCACUUUUGAAAAACAGAAGUUGACAUGUAGUUGUGGAGCACAUGGAAAAAGACAAAAUUAAAAAGCUCAGUUAAAACGGUAUUGAAGGCCAUUUUCAUGCCAUAAGGAACCCAGACAAUACAAGAACCAUGCAACAUAAAAUGACACCAUGAAGACCAAAAUAAAAACAUGAAAUAGUUAAGAAAAAAGGAUAAUGCAAUUAAAAGGGAGGACGAAAGCGAGAACAGGAUAGUAAAUAUAAAAGGCAAUAUCAACAAUGGUAAUUAAAUAAUAACAACAGGUAAUCCUGAUAAUAAAAGUAAUGAUAAAAUAGAGCAACAGAAAUGAGCAAGAGAUAAAACGAUAAAAGGCCUAAAAGGUUAAUUAAGAAAAGAGUACAAGUAAAACAAAAGCUAAAAAGACAGUAAGGCCGAAAUAAGAUUGAGGUAAAAGAGAUAAGAGAUGAUAAAAGAUGUAAAAGUUUCUGAAUCUCCCUUUGCUGUGUGACAUACACUCACCGGCCACUUUAUUAGGUACACCAUGCUACUAACGGGUUGGACCCCCUUUUGCCUUCAGAACUGCCUCAAUUCUUCGUGGCAUAGAUUCAACAAGGUGCUGGAAGCAUUCCUCAGAGAGCUUGGUCCAUAUUGACAUGAUGGCAUCACACAGUUGCUGCAGAUUUGUCGGCUGCACAUCCAUGAUGCGAAUCUCCCGUUCACCACAUCCCAAAGAUGCUCUAUUGGAUUGAGAUCUGGUGACUGUGGAGGCCAUUUGAGUACAGUGAACUCAUUGUCAUGUUCAAGAAACCAGUCUGAGAUGAUUCCAGCUUUAUGACAUGGCGCAUUAUCCUGCUGAAAGUAGCCAUCAGAAGUUGGGUACAUUGUGGUCAUAAAGGGAUGGACAUGGUCAGCAACAAUACUCAGGUAGGCUGUGGCGUUGCAACGAUGCUCAAUUGGUACCAAGGGGCCCAAAGAGUGCCAAGAAAAUAUUCCCCACACCAUGACACCACCACCACCAGCCUGAACCGUUGAUACAAGGCAGGAUGGAUCCAUGCUUUCAUGAUGUUGACGCCAAAUUCUGACCCUACCAUCCGAAUGUCGCAGCAGAAAUCGAGACUCAUCAGACCAGGCAACGUUUUUCCAAUCUUCUAUUGUCCAAUUUCGAUGAGCUUGUGCAAAUUGUAGCCUCAGUUUCCUGUUCUUAGCUGAAAGGAGUGGCACCCGGCGUGGUCUUCUGCUGCUGUAGCCCAUCUGCCUCAAAGUUUGACGUACUGUGUGUUCAGAGAUGCUCUUCUGCCUACCUUGGUUGUAACGGGUGGUUAUUUGAGUCACUGUUGCCUUUCUAUCAGCUCGAACCAGUCUGGCCAUUCUCCUCUGACCUCUGGCAUCAACAAGGCAUUUCCGCCCACAGAACUGCCGCUCACUGGAUAUUUUUUCUUUUUCGGACCAUUCUCUGUAAACCCUAGAGAUGGUUGUGCAUGAAAAUCCCAGUAGAUCAGCAGUUUCUGAAAUACUCAGACCAGCCCUUCUGGCACCAACAACCAUGCCACGUUCAAAGUCACUCAAAUCACCUUUCUUCCCCAUACUGAUGCUAGGUUUGAACUGCAGGAGAUUGUCUUGACCAUGUCUACAUGCCUAAAUGCACUAAGUUGCCGCCAUGUGAUUGGCUGAUUAGAAAUUAAGUGUUAACGAGCAGUUGGACAGGUGUACCUAAUAAAGUGGCCGGUGAGUGUAUAGUCUCCAGUAUUUAACAGCUUCCAGACACGCCCACUCACCUACUUUCAGAUGCUUGGCUGCAGCUCCGACCUUCACCACCCGCCCUGAUGCCUCAUGGCCCAGCACCAUAGGUUUUUUAACCACAAAAUCCCCGAGCCGUCCGUGCUGCCAGAAACGAACGUCUGAUCCACAAAUUCCCACAGAGUGCAUCUGCAGCAAAACCUCUGGAAAAGGAAAAAACAGGACACACAUGACAAAAAGCAAUGUUUGCAACCUGAUCAUAAAAACAAAACCUCAGCUUUGGCUCAGUAAAGAUACUUUCUCUGGAGGUAAAAAUAUGCUCCAUGAAAUUAAGUGCAUGAAGUUGAAGCAGAACAGCCUGGACGUGCUCUAGCUUUGAGAUGGUUUUGCAGUAAGACACACAUCUUCAACAUUUUAAGAGUUUAUUUUGUAAUGUUUGUAAAAGUAGACUGUCAUACUGCACCAUUAGGUCCUGGCUCCGGGACAGGGCGAUUUUCCUUUGAGAAAUGAACAAAAUCAAAAGGAAAAAAAUGUGCAUUUAGAUGGUUUCAUACGAGCUACAACUUAUUUUGUUCACCACAUAAUAUAAAAGUCUGUGCCGGUCUCUUACCAGUCUGAGGUCUCCCUUUGAGUGCAGCACUAAAGACAGAUUUUCCUGCGCCAUGACGGAUGAGCCAGAGAGCGAGAGAGGAGGAUAAACCUGACAGGGACUCGGUUAAAACUUCAGAUCACAGACAAACCUCCUCCUUAUUCUACAUGUGCCCAGACAGCAGCACCAGCAGCGUGAAUAUAACUUCCGGAAAAUGAGGGCGGUACCAAAACAAAGACCCAUGGCACGGUCUAUUUAGGAGGGGUGGAACCAAUCCGUGUGUUAAUGAGAUUUUACUCAGAUAAUGACAAUUUAAGUCCUGACAACGCUUGAAAUACCUUUAAAACAAAUUGGUAUCCAUCGAAAGAUGUUAUUAAGCCUGCUUUGUCAAUAUGUGUUUUUGUUAUUUGGCGAAACACACUCUCAAAUGCCGUUUGAAUACGUUCAAAUCAGAUUAUCGCUAAGCCCCGCCCCUCAGACGCAGAUGAGCCAAUGGUAGUUUAGUAUCAUUUUAACCGGGACUGUAAAACUCUGGAACAUCUGUAGCUUUUUAGUUCAAUUGAGAAGCAGUAAAAGUCGUGAUAUUUGACCUGUUUUGUGUCGUUAAUUUUAAUAUAACAGAAAGAAACAUGAUUAAAAAUAAAGGUGUGCAAAGAGUAGCGACACAAGCAAUCCUGACAGGAUGGGCAGUGGGGUGAAUUUCACUCCAUUUACAAAAGAAAGACCCAAGUAAACGUCUGCGAUGGAUGACGUUGUGUGUCAGACAAACAGCCAACUUAACGUCCAGAAGAUCAACAAGGAUGUCUACGUUUGUUCUAAGGCAAGUUACACCAACGAAGCUUUAAAUCUACAACCUUUACCGACAGUUAUUUCAUCGUCAUUAGCGAUGUAGUAACUUUCGACUCUGGUGCUAAUGUUAGCCCAGGUUAGCACAAUUUUAAAUAUAAACGGUAGAUGGAUUACGCACGCUGUUAGCCAAUGGAGACCGACAUCCGCAUCCGGCGGCCAUUUCGCUAUCGGACGCUCGCCCACUCAUUACAUUACAGUCUACGGUGCAUGUAGCAUUUAAAUAGCCAGGAAUUGCUUAAUUUUGAACCGAUUUUCAAACGGUUUGGUUUGUAACGAACCUCAGAGUUUUACUUAUGUUCCUCUGUACUCAAAAAUAAUUUUAACCAUGGAUUUUCAUAAAUAAACAUUAAACAAAUAGGUAGAGCAAUAGCUAUAGGUCUACGCGCACACACACACACACACACACACACACACACACACACACACACACACACACACACACACACACACACACACACAAGGCAGUUACAUUAAACCAUUUAUAUAAAGAACAUUAAAACAUUCCAUGUAUGUCGUAUUAGUAAUAUUUCUAUUAUAGGGACAACUAUAUUAACAUAUAGCAAUAACAGUAUUUUUGAUCAUGCAGAUUACUCAUCUAAUUUUAAAUUCUGGAUAUAUCCCUCCAUGACAUAGUAAAGUCCAUUUUGAUGGCUUCUCGGAGACUUCAGGUGUUUUUGUGCCCAGAAUUUGUCAAGACCGUCUUGGUCUUGGCAUUUGACACUGAUAGCCACCAUUGUAAAGCACUGCUCAGCUGUCCAAGUUAGCAACAGGAGACUUGGCGCUGUUUUACAUAAUCUUUGACAUGAUACUGAAUGUGUUUCAUCAGUAUCCUGUUUGACUUGUGUGAUUAUUUUUGCACUAUUUGCUUUGUUUGCCUGUUGUAAUGUGAUGUUUUUUCCCUCACUUCAUGUCAAACUGCUUAUGAACCACACAGUUUUAAAUCCUGUUACACUUUAAAUAAUGACCUGGGGUACUCAGUUUAUGGUAAGGGGGAAAGUCUAUCUUGACCUGUGUGACACUUGAAAAAGUUUCUUGGAGGGUAAUUAGUUCAAUCAGUAGGUAAACCUACUUUGAGGUAUAAACCUUGAUCUGGAGAUGAGUCACUUACAAUAAAUGUUGUCUUGUGCCUGAAGCACACUACUUAAAAACCAGACAAACUUGUUCUUCAACAUACACUCAGACACAGUUUACUCGCUGUUAGCUUGUUGGUUUUGUUAGCUUGGCCUUAAGUCAGAUCUUUUAAUCUAAGUUAACAUUAUGUAUAUUAUCAGUCAAUGGUAAAUUAGCCACUUGCAGCUAAAAGGUUUGAUAGGGAAUAUUGAGCAAGUUAAUCAUUAGCAAGCCAUUUAUUUCUCCCAAAGCCUUUUCUUUUAUACUGCUCUGUUGUUGAGUAUUUACAGCUGCAUUCAAGUUCAGAGAAAGGCUGUAGUAAACUUUAACUUAAGUCAAAACAGAGAAAUAAGCGAGGUUAAGACUGGCUUGGAGGGGUUUUUGAUUACAUGACUAUAGUGCACAAUUUUUAGCGCUUGUUGAACAAUUCAUUUUUCUGUUUUCUGACCACAAGAGGCAAUACUCUAGUUUAGCACAGGGUCAGAAAGUUUGUAUUUUAGAAUACAAUCAAACCACAGCUCUUAUUUGCAAACCAAUUUCAAAAUAUGUGUCAACAUUUUGAUUAUCUAAGAUGACAAAAAUAUGAAAAUCAUUGGGCUAUGAAAAAAAAACAAAAAACAAAUCCCCCAUUCUCUUUAAUGCAUUAUCAAAGGUUUGGACAUAGACUGUUAAUAAGAUGGAUGUCAUAUUAUGACUUUACACACAUGACUUGAAAAUUAAAUUAAUGUAAAAAUAAAUUCAGAGCCGAAUGGUGCAGUGAUACACCACAAUUGUUAGACUUCAGGUCCACUUUUUCUGAAAAGUUUUUUUUAUGAGUUAUUGCAGUUAUAAAAAACAUAUUUUACAACAUAUUUUUGAAACACCAGUUGGUUUGUUUUUUCUCUGUAAAAACGUCAGAAUUAAGUUCUUAAACAUAAACUUUAAGGUAUUUUCAAAUCCAACAAUGUAGAGUACAUGCUGUAUAACUCCACCACCAGUUUGUACAAACCUACUGUAUCUAUUUUCUCCGAAUCUCUGAUACCACCUAGUGGCCAUUUCUGAGACACCAAAGAAGAGAAAGGAGUCCAUGAUAUUUUCUGAUUUUGAUUUUAUUCUGAGGAUUCUCUUUUUUUAACAGUAGUUGCCUAUAAAAUGGUCAAUAAUUUAGAAAUUAUGUAAUGAUAUAAAAUCGUGUUCAAAUCAUUUAAAUAUUCUUUUAGAGUUCAGUGUUCUAUAAUUACAUGUACCAUUUGAUGCUAAAAGAGCGUCUGACCUUCGUGCAGUGCACAGUACACACUAUCACAGUGUUGAUGUUAGCUGGUCCCUUUAAGCUAGAUCUGUUAUCUUUCUCUAGGUCAAAGUCCUGUGUGUGUGUUUGUGUGUGGGAUGUUUGUGUCUGUCAUGCUGAGUUGUCCUCAGUUGAUCAGGUUUUUGUCACUGAAGCAGGUCAGGGUUUCUGGUCAUUCUGGUCAC
RNAcentral lists this long non-coding RNA (8166 nucleotides) under Xyrichtys novacula (pearly razorfish). The record is from RNAcentral. Lineage: Eukaryota; Metazoa; Chordata; Actinopteri; Labriformes; Labridae.